Molecule: ribosomal RNA, 802 nt
Filed under: uncultured bacterium
Lineage: Bacteria
Description: bacterial SSU rRNA
Rfam family: Bacterial small subunit ribosomal RNA
Source: RNAcentral
GUCGAACGGUCCCUUCGGGGAUAGUGGCGGACGGGUGAGGAACACGUAGCUAACCUGCCCUCAAGACUGGGAUAACCCUGCGAAAGCAGGGCUAAAACCGGAUAAGCUCACGAGGAAGAGAGGCCUGGUGAGAAAAGUCUAAGGAGCUUGAGGAGGGGGCUGCGGCCCAUCAGCUAGUUGGUAGGGUAAUGGCCUACCAAGGCGACGACGGGUAGGGGGCCUGAGAGGGUGACCCCCCACACUGGGACUGAGACACGGCCCAGACUCCUACGGGAGGCAGCAGUGAGGAAUAUUGCGCAAUGGGCGAAAGCCUGACGCAGCGACGCCGCGUGGACGAUGAAGGUCUUCGGAUCGUAAAGUCCUUUUCUGCGUGACGAGGAAGGACGGUAGCGCAGGAAUAAGUGUCGGCUAACUACGUGCCAGCAGCCGCGGUAACACGUAGGACGCAAGCGUUAUCCGGAAUUACUGGGCGUAAAGGGCGUGUAGGCGGCACGGUAAGUCAACCGUGAAAGCUCCCGGCUAAACUGGGAGAGGUCGGAUGAGACUGCCGAGCUAGAGGGUCGUAGAGGGGUGUGGAAUUCCGGGUGUAGUGGUGAAAUGCGUAGAGAUCCGGAGGAACACCAGAGGCGAAGGCGGCACCCUGGACGACACCAGGCGCUGAGACGCGACAGCACGGGGAGCGAACGGGAUUAGAAACCCCGGUAGUCCGUGCCGUAAACGAUGUGCACUAGAUGUUCGGUCCUCUACGGGGGAGUGAGCGUCGCAGCCAACGCGGUAAGUGCACCGCCUGGGGAGUACGGUC